Molecule: long non-coding RNA, 423 nt
Filed under: Gallus gallus (chicken)
Lineage: Eukaryota; Metazoa; Chordata; Aves; Galliformes; Phasianidae
Description: long non-coding RNA NONGGAT003071
Source: RNAcentral
ACAAACAAUGGGAGGAAUCCAGAGUGGAGCAGGGAGAGAAGCAAGGAAGGGACCCCAAGGAUUGGCAGCAAUACAAUUGUCAGCCUGGCUUAGAGUGGGUCCUGUGACUAUGGCUUCUGCCAGAUGCUUUUAAAGAAGAUAGAAGCUGUGCACAACAAGCAAAUGGUAAAGAAGGCAGAGCCGGAGCAGUUCCUCCUGCAGUGCUUUUGUCACAUGGCCCCAUCUCUGACCUCACUGCUGUUGUGUCACCUGAGACUCCUCUCUGUAAACCUGUACCAGAGCCUCUGUGCUGCAGAGCAAAAUGGUAUGGAAACAUAGGGCAGUAUUGGAGGGAGGGAGGGAGGGAUGUGGAAUUGGCAAAUGUCUUCAGCAUGAUGGUAGGGACACAGUCUUAACUCAUUUUGAGGUUACUACUGUAAAAAU